This 253-nucleotide ribosomal RNA is filed under the name uncultured bacterium. Its description in RNAcentral is "partial 16S ribosomal RNA". It matches the Rfam family "Bacterial small subunit ribosomal RNA", at positions 524 to 776 of the family's 1533-position model. The record is from RNAcentral.
UACGGAGGGUGCAAGCGUUAUCCGGAUUUACUGGGUUUAAAGGGUGCGUAGGUGGGUAGGAAAGUCAGUGGUGAAAUCUUCGGGCUUAACCCGGAAACUGCCAUUGAUACUAUUUAUCUUGAAUACUUUGGAGGUAAGCGGAAUAUGUCAUGUAGCGGUGAAAUGCUUAGAUAUGACAUAGAACACCAAUUGCGAAGGCAGCUUACCACACAGUUAUUGACACUGAGGCACGAAAGCGUGGGGAUCAAACAGG